Molecule: ribosomal RNA, 497 nt
Filed under: uncultured bacterium
Lineage: Bacteria
Description: partial 16S ribosomal RNA
Rfam family: Bacterial small subunit ribosomal RNA
Source: RNAcentral
GAUGAACGCUGGCGGCGUGCCUAAUACAUGCAAGUCGAGCGAACAGACGAGGAGCUUGCUCCUGUGACGUUAGCGGCGGACUUGUGAGUAAAACGUGGAGAACCGACCUAUAAGACUGGGAUAACUUCGGGAAACCGGAUCGAAUACCGGAGAAUAUAUUGAACAACGUAGUUCAUUAGUGAAAUACGGUUUUGCUGUCACUUAUAGAUUUAUCCAAGCCGCAUUAUCUAGUUGGUAAGGUAACGGCUUAACAAGGCGACGAUGCGUAGCCGACCAGAGAGGGUGAACUGCCACACUGGAACGGAGACACGGUCAAGACUCCUACGGGAGGCAGCAGUAGGGCAUCUUCCGCAAUGGGCGAAAGCCUGACGGAGCAACGCCGCGUGAGUGAUGAAGGUAUGCGGAUCGUAAAACUCUGUUAUUCGGGAAGAACAAAUGUGUAAGUAACUAUGCACGUCUUGACGGUACCUAAUCAGAAAGCCACGGCUAACUACGUG